Molecule: long non-coding RNA, 349 nt
Filed under: Panax ginseng (ginseng)
Lineage: Eukaryota; Viridiplantae; Streptophyta; Magnoliopsida; Apiales; Araliaceae
Description: long non-coding RNA (PGIN_LNC007856)
Source: RNAcentral
CGGGGUGAUCUUAUCGUAUAUAUUACGAUUCAAUUCUAUGCAUUGAUCAUUUUCAAUCAUCAUAUUGAUUCUUUCUAGCUGUCAUAACUUUUAUCAGAUCACGGGGUGAUCUUAUCGUAUAUAUUACGAUUCAAUUCUAUGACUAUGAUCGUUUUGUUUUACGAUCUCCUAUCACUGAACUUUUGUUCACCACUUCUGUUCACCACUAUUACCAGAGUUAGGGAACUCUGUAUCUUAACAACUUACCGAGAUUCAUCUUUGAAUCUUACCGACCAACUAACUCUAUGUGAGUUAGAUCUUAUCUUAAUCACUGCGGUUAUUGGUCUCAGGUAUUCUUACCUAAGCUUCA